UGGGGAAUAUUGCACAAUGGGCGCAAGCCUGAUGCAGCCAUGCCGCGUGUGUGAAGAAGGCCUUCGGGUUGUAAAGCACUUUCAGCGAGGAGGAAGGUGGUGAGCUUAAUACGCUCAUCAAUUGACGUUACUCGCAGAAGAAGCACCGGCUAACUCCGUGCCAGCAGCCGCGGUAAUACGGAGGGUGCAAGCGUUAAUCGGAAUUACUGGGCGUAAAGCGCACGCAGGCGGUUUGUUAAGUCAGAUGUGAAAAUCCCCGGGCUCAACCUGGGAACUGCAUUUGAAACUGGCAAGCUAGAGUCUCGUAGAGGGGGGUAGAAUUCCAGGUGUAGCGGUGAAAUGCGUAGAGAUCUGGAGGAAUACCGGUGGCGAAGGCGGCCCCCUGGACGAAGACUGACGCUCAGGUGCGAAAGCGUGGGGCAGCAAACAGGAUUAGAUACCCUGGUAGUCAGCGCUGUAAACGAUGUCGAUUUUGGAGGUUGUGCCCCUUGAGGCGUGGCUUCCGGAGCUAACGCGUUAAAGUCGACCG
RNAcentral lists this ribosomal RNA (529 nucleotides) under uncultured bacterium. RNAcentral's name for it is "partial 16S ribosomal RNA". It matches the Rfam family "Bacterial small subunit ribosomal RNA", at positions 355 to 871 of the family's 1533-position model. The record is from RNAcentral.